This 468-nucleotide ribosomal RNA is filed under the name uncultured bacterium. Its description in RNAcentral is "partial 16S ribosomal RNA". It matches the Rfam family "Bacterial small subunit ribosomal RNA", at positions 28 to 507 of the family's 1533-position model. The record is from RNAcentral.
GACGAACGCUGGCGGCGUGCUUAAUACAUGCAAGUCGAACGGACAGGCCCUGCUUUUGUGGGGUGCUCGAGUGGCGAACGGGUGAGUAACACGUGAGUAACCUGCCCUUGACUUUGGGAUAACUUCAGGAAACUGGGGCUAAUACCGGAUAGGAGCUCCUGCUGCAUGGUGGUGGUUGGAAAGUUUCGGCGGUUGGGGAUGGACUCGCUGCAUAUCAGCUUGUUGGUGUGGUAGUGGCUUACCAAGGCUUUGACGGAUAGCCGACCUGAGAGGGUUAACGGCCACAAGAGGACUGAGAGAGGGCCCAGAAUCGUACGGGAGGCAGCAGUGGGGAAUAUGGCACAAUGGGCGGAAGCCUGAUGCGGCAACGCCGCGUGCGGGAUAACGGCCUUCGGGUUGUAAACCGCUGUCGAAGGUGACGAAGAGUGAGUGACGGUAAUGGGUAAAGAAGCACCGGCUAACUACGUG